RNAcentral lists this ribosomal RNA (253 nucleotides) under uncultured bacterium. RNAcentral describes it as "partial 16S ribosomal RNA". It matches the Rfam family "Bacterial small subunit ribosomal RNA", at positions 524 to 776 of the family's 1533-position model. The record is from RNAcentral.
UACGUAGGGGGCUAGCGUUGUCCGGAAUCAUUGGGCGUAAAGCGCGUGUAGGCGGUCCGGUAAGUCCGCUGUGAAAGUCGGGGGCUCAACCCUCGAAUGCCGGUGGAUACUGUCGGGCUAGAGUGCGGAAGAGGCGAGUGGAAUUCCUGGUGUAGCGGUGAAAUGCGCAGAUAUCAGGAGGAACACCAAUUGCGAAGGCAGCUCGCUGGGCCGUUACUGACGCUGAGACGCGAAAGCGUGGGGAGCAAACAGG